AGCUCCAAUAGCGUAUAUUAAAGUUGUUGCAGUUAAAAAGCUCGUAGUUGGAUUUCUGAUUGAGACAUCAGGUCGGGUCCGAGAGGAUCAUGUACUUUGAUUUUGUUUUGAUCAUCCUUGGGGAGAGCAUUUCUGGCAUUCAGUUGUCGGGAUUGGGAUCCUCAUCGUUUACUGUGAAAAAAUUAGAGUGUUCAAAGCAGGCCUCGGCCUCUGAAUACAUUAGCAUGGAAUAAUAAGAUAGGACUUUGGUGGUCUAUUUUGUUGGUUUGCACGCCAAAGUAAUGAUUAAUAGGGAUAGUUGGGGGUAUUCGUAUUCAAUUGUCAGAGGUGAAAUUCUUGGAUUUAUGGAAGACGAACUACUGCGAAAGCAUUUACCAAGGAUGUUUUCAUUAAUCAAGAA
RNAcentral lists this ribosomal RNA (400 nucleotides) under phytoplankton environmental sample. RNAcentral describes it as "partial small subunit ribosomal RNA". It matches the Rfam family "Eukaryotic small subunit ribosomal RNA", at positions 587 to 983 of the family's 1831-position model. The record is from RNAcentral.